Solea solea (common sole) is the source of this 137-nucleotide small nucleolar RNA. RefSeq annotates it as small nucleolar RNA SNORA31. The transcript has a single exon. NCBI's taxonomy places the organism in Eukaryota, Metazoa, Chordata, Actinopteri, Pleuronectiformes, Soleidae. The record is from RefSeq and is a predicted model, not a curated record.
AUGCAUCUUUGACAGCCUGGACACUCUGGUGUGAGUGUAUUCUGGGUUUUAUUAUUUCAGAUGCAAUAACAAAUGUCCCCGCGCUUUCUGCUCGUCUUUGUUCCAUGGCGUCUCGGAUUGAAUAGGGGAGGAUAAAU